This is a long non-coding RNA of Carassius auratus (goldfish), 2558 nucleotides long. NCBI's taxonomy places the organism in Eukaryota, Metazoa, Chordata, Actinopteri, Cypriniformes, Cyprinidae. The record is from Ensembl.
AUGCAAAAGAAAGUUUCAGAGAUUCUGCAUGAAAUGACAAUGAGGUUUGGAACCGACUUGGUGAAGAACAUGGAAACAUCUCUGAAUGAAAUGGCCCCAAACAUCAUCAGGAGUGCAAAAGAAGGAAGUAAAAAAAAAAAAAACUACGUCAAUCUCAUUGGACUAGCAGAGGAAACCACAGAAGGUAACUACACCAUAUAUCUUUCCCCAUCUAACCUAUCUGUUCCAUGCCCAGUGUAAAGUUGCAUUGUUUGCAUUGUCAAUGUAAAGGUUGUAGCUCCUAUAAAUUGUAUAAGUGAAAACAUGUAUUAAAAUAAUGCAAAUAUUAAAGGAACAGUUAACCCCCAAAUAAAAAUCGUCAUCCUUUACUCACCUCUUGUCAUUUCAAAUCUUUAUGGCUUUCUUCUUCAGAACACUGUAGAAGAUAUUUUGAAGAAGGAUGGUAACCAAACAACGACGGUGCCCAUUGGUUUGGUGUCUAUAUAAUAGAAGUGAAUGAGGACCAGCAUUGUUCGGUCACCAACAUUCUUCAAAAUAAUUUUUUUGUGUGUCAUGCUGAAGAAAGAAAGCUAUAUAGGUUUAAAAUAACAAGAGUGAGUGAAUGAUGACAGAAUGUUCAUUUUUGGAUAAACUAUCCCUUUAAUUGAUUUCUGUACCUAAUAUACAAUAAUUUGUAUCUGUUUGUAGGUCUCGUUAGGAAUGCUGCACUCAUUUUAUUGCCAGCACUAUUUAAAGAAAACGCCAGCUUCCUCUACUGUGUAGAUAGUGUAAGUAUAGUCUUCUGUAGUUUCAUUAAUAUUUGAUGCACUUGACUUGAAUUAAAGGAACUGUUCAUGCAAAUAUAAAAAUAUUAGUCAGUUUACUCACCCUUAUGCCAAAUUUGUAACAAUUAAAAAAAAAAUUACAUUUACCCUAUAAUUUACUCACUCUCUUCCUUAGUCAUAAACUUUGUACUGUUUGCACUGCUUUGUAAUGUCAUUGAAUGGCACCCCAAUUUAAAUCAUAAAAUAAAUCUGUACAACUCCAGGGGUUAAUACUUGUCUUCUAAAGCAAAAUGGUACAGUAUGUACAAAUGGUACGUUAGUGAGAUUACAUUUGCCAAGAUAGGUUGCUAUAAUUAGACUAUGUAUAGAUAAGGGAAUAACAUCCAAUGGGGUGGCACUUUACAUCGAUAAUUAUGAGUCUUGUUGGUUCUUGCGUGUCACGUUUUUAGCUGUCAUAUCUGUGUUGUGUCAUGAACUAUUCAUUUAAAAGAACGAAAGAACUGAUGAGAUUCAAAGUAAUCAAAGUGGAACUGACGUGGUAAUGUUGACAUUCAAACACAUUACAAAGCUUUUUAUUAUUAAAUAUAUCUCAGAUUGUGUUAAACUGGAGAAACAGUCAUAUACAUUGGUUGUUUUUUUGGUAAGUAAAUUAUGGGGUAAUUUUUAAGUCUAUUUGAUGACUUCUGUUAAUUGGUGAAAAGCACUCAAAAGGUGAAAUGUUUGUUUUAUAGGAACCCAAAGGUGCUACACCAACCAUAGUGUUUAACGGCUCUCCUGAUCCCCUCAAGGCUGAAAGUGUCAGCAUUAUAAUGGACAAUGUGAACAUCAUAAGAGAGGCAGACAUUGACAUGACACAGGCUGUGGAAUGCCUAUUUGCAGUCUAUUUUCUCUUCAAUGUGCAGUACCCGGUUGACAUUAAGCACACAAUGACUUUUAUUUAAAAAUAUAUGCUUAACCUUAGACAACAGCACGGCAAAAGAACACCAAUUCAUGUACUGAAAAUGUAUAGUCAACUUGUGUAAAUUGUAGAGCUAUUUAAUAGUUGUUUUAACUGUUCAUGUAUUGAUUUUUAUCUGCACUGUUAAAUAUAAAAAAUGAUUUGUUUUUCCUAAUUUCAGAGAUAUAUGUAAAAGUGAAGUACUGUAUAUGUACGUAAACAAGCUUAUGUAUGUUUAUUGCAAAGUGAAAAUGCUUAAAUGAAAUAAUUCAAACUAAAUGGUUAAAUGUAAUUAAACAUCUUAAAUAUGAAAUUUGCUGUCUAAUACAGAGUAUACAGAGGUGUAAUUUUAAAUGACACUAAAUUUUUUGUAUAAACAGUUGAAUAAAUUUAAACAUUUUAAAUUUUCUGGAUUGUUUAUAUUUUCUUAUUCAAUAAUAAUUUUAACUUGUUUAAUAAUAAAGAACUCUUAAAUGGUUCUAUAUAGAACCAUCUAACUUGGAUUCAAAGAACCAUUUGGGGUUCUUUUUAUGGAACCCAUUAAAGUGGUUCUAUAUAGAACCAUUUUGGAGUUCCAUAUAUGAAGCGGGUGAUAGAACCAUUUUUGGUUCUAAAUAGAACCAUUUCUUUUAAGAGUGUAGGACCUUGGUUUCCAAAUCAAAUACAAAACUUGCAACAGUCCAGUUCUUCUUCUCCUUAGCCCAGGUAAGACGCCUCUGACGUUGUCUGUGAUACAGGAGUGAAUUAACAAGAGGAAUAUGAUAAUACAAUAAGUCACUUUUAUAAAAGGUUUCCUAAUACUAUAGUUAAUAUAUAGUUAACUCCGGAUUCAAGAAUUAGCCUUUUAUUAGUGAAAC